RNAcentral lists this ribosomal RNA (468 nucleotides) under uncultured bacterium. RNAcentral describes it as "partial 16S ribosomal RNA". It matches the Rfam family "Bacterial small subunit ribosomal RNA", at positions 28 to 507 of the family's 1533-position model. The record is from RNAcentral.
GACGAACGCUGGCGGCGUGCUUAACACAUGCAAGUCGAACGGAAAGGCCCUGCUUUUGUGGGGUGCUCGAGUGGCGAACGGGUGAGUAACACGUGAGUAACCUGCCCUUGACUUUGGGAUAACUUCAGGAAACUGGGGCUAAUACCGGAUAGGAGCUCCUGCUGCAUGGUGGGGGUUGGAAAGUUUCGGCGGUUGGGGAUGGACUCGCGGCUUAUCAGCUUGUUGGUGGGGUAGUGGCUUACCAAGGCUUUGACGGGUAGCCGGCCUGAGAGGGUGACCGGCCACAUUGGGACUGAGAUACGGCCCAGACUCCUACGGGAGGCAGCAGUGGGGAAUAUUGCACUAUGGGCGGAAGCCUGAUGCAGCAACGCCGCGUGCGGGAUGACGGCCUUCGGGUUGUAAACCGCUUUCGCCUGUGCCGAAGCGUGAGUGACGGUACUGGGUAAAGAAGCACCGGCUAACUACGUG